This 466-nucleotide ribosomal RNA is filed under the name uncultured bacterium. RNAcentral describes it as "partial 16S ribosomal RNA". It matches the Rfam family "Bacterial small subunit ribosomal RNA", at positions 28 to 505 of the family's 1533-position model. The record is from RNAcentral.
GACGAACGCUGGCGGCGUGCUUAACACAUGCAAGUCGAACGGAAAGGCCCUGCUUUUGUGGGGUGCUCGAGUGGCGAACGGGUGAGUAACACGUGAGUAACCUGCCCUUGACUUUGGGAUAACUUCAGGAAACUGGGGCUAAUACCGGAUAGGAGCUCCUGCUGCAUGGUGGGGGUUGGAAAGUUUCGGCGGUUGGGGAUGGACUCGCGGCUUAUCAGCUUGUUGGUGGGGUAGUGGCUUACCAAGGCUUUGACGGGUAGCCGGCCUGAGAGGGUGACCGGCCACAUUGGGACUGAGAUACGGCCCAGACUCCUACGGGAGGCAGCAGUGGGGAAUAUUGCACAAUGGUCGGAAGCCUGAUGCAGCAACGCCGCGUGCGGGAUGACGGCCUUCGGGUUGUAAACCGCUUUCGCCUGUGACGAAGCGUGAGUGACGGUAAUGGGUAAAGAGGCACCGGCUAACUACG